UGAAGCAUGAUCGUAAGGACAUGUGGAGCGCUUAGAAGUGAGAAUGCCGGUGUGAGUAGCGAAAGACGGGUGAGAAUCCCGUCCACCGAUUGACUAAGGUUUCCAGAGGAAGGCUCGUCCGCUCUGGGUUAGUCGGGUCCUAAGCUGAGGCCGACAGGCGUAGGCGAUGGAUAACAGGUUGAUAUUCCUGUACCACCUAUAAUCGUUUUAAUCGAUGGGGGGACGCAGUAGGAUAGGCGAAGCGUGCGAUUGGAUUGCACGUCUAAGCAGUAAGGCUGAGUAUUAGGCAAAUCCGGUACUCGUUAAGGCUGAGCUGUGAUGGGGAGAAGACAUUGAGUCUUCGAGUCGUUGAUUUCACACUGCCGAGAAAAGCCUCUAGAUAGAAAAUAGGUGCCCGUACCGCAAACCGACACAGGUAGUCAAGAUGAGAAUUCUAAGGUGAGCGAGCGAACUCUCGUUAAGGAACUCGGCAAAAUGACCCCGUAACUUCGGGAGAAGGGGUGCUCUUUAGGGUUAACGCCCAGAAGAGCCGCAGUGAAUAGGCCCAAGCGACUGUUUAUCAAAAACACAGGUCUCUGCUAAACCGUAAGGUGAUGUAUAGGGGCUGACGCCUGCCCGGUGCUGGAAGGUUAAGAGGAGUGGUUAGCUUCUGCGAAGCUACGAAUCGAAGCCCCAGUAAACGGCGGCCGUAACUAUAACGGUCCUAAGGUAGCGAAAUUCCUUGUCGGGUAAGUUCCGACCCGCACGAAAGGCGUAACGAUUUGGGCACUGUCUCAACGAGAGACUCGGUGAAAUCAUAGUACCUGUGAAGAUGCAGGUUACCCGCGACAGGACGGAAAGACCCCGUGGAGCUUUACUGUAGCCUGAUAUUGAAAUUCGGCACAGCUUGUACAGGAUAGGUAGGAGCCUUUGAAACGUGAGCGCUAGCUUACGUGGAGGCGCUGGUGGGAUACUACCCUAGCUGUGUUGGCUUUCUAACCCGCACCACUUAUCGUGGUGGGAGACAGUGUCA
This 1012-nucleotide ribosomal RNA is filed under the name Staphylococcus aureus M1530. RNAcentral's name for it is "bacterial LSU rRNA". It matches the Rfam family "Bacterial large subunit ribosomal RNA", at positions 1251 to 2259 of the family's 2925-position model. The record is from RNAcentral. Lineage: Bacteria; Bacillati; Bacillota; Bacilli; Caryophanales; Staphylococcaceae.